GAGACCGAUAGCGCACAAGUAGAGUGAUCGAAAGAUGAAAAGCACUUUGGAAAGAGAGUUAAAAAGCACGUGAAAUUGUUGAAAGGGAAGCGCUUGCAACCAGACUUGUCGGCGGUGUUCCGCCGGUCUUCUGACCGGUCUACUCGCCGUCGACAGGCCAGCAUCAUCUGGGGCCGCCGGAUAAAGGCUUGGGGAAUGUAGCUCUCUUCGGGGAGUGUUAUAGCCCCUCGCACAAUACGGUGCGCCCCGGGUGAGGUCCGCGUCUCGGCAAGGAUGCUGGCGUAAUGGUUGUAAGCGGCCCGUCUUGAAACACGGACCAAGGAGUCGAUUAUCUAUGCGAGUGUUCGGGCGUCAAACCCCUACGCGUAAUGAAAGUGAACGGAGGUGGGAACCCUUACCGGUGCACCAUCGACCGAUCCGGAUGUCUUCGGAUGGAUUUGAGUAAGAGCAUAGCUAAUCGGACCCGAAAGAUGGUGAACUAUGCCUGAAUAGGGUGAAGCCAGAGGAAACUCUGGUGGAGGCUCGCAGCGGUUCUGACGUGCAAAUCGAUCGUCAAAUUUGGGUAUAGGGGCGAAAGACUAAUCG
This 585-nucleotide ribosomal RNA is filed under the name Dothideomycetes sp. RWB1611a. RNAcentral's name for it is "eukaryotic LSU rRNA". It matches the Rfam family "Eukaryotic large subunit ribosomal RNA", at positions 330 to 937 of the family's 3401-position model. Lineage: Eukaryota; Fungi; Ascomycota; Dothideomycetes. The record is from RNAcentral.